UCCUUCCCAAUUUGCGCCUAGUUUGCCUUUGGAGCAGUCUUUUCUGCCGACACUCGCUCUUCUCCAUACUAGGCUUCCUUUUCUUAUCGCUUUACCCUUGACAUUCUUGUCGUGAUAUCUAACGAUACUUUGUUUAUAAGCUGCAUUCUUUGCCUGUGCAUUAUCCCUAAGCUCAUCCACUAAGUCCAGAGUUAUCGCACAUGAUCUCAUGUUUUCUUCCAUGUCAUAGGAUAACACUCUGACUGUUGGAAUGCUUAGCUCUAUUGGGAUUAGUGCUUCCAUUCCAUAUGCUAGCGAGAACGAGGUUUCUCCGGUGGGUGUCUUUUCAGUGGUUCUAUACGCCCACAG
RNAcentral lists this long non-coding RNA (348 nucleotides) under Zostera marina. RNAcentral describes it as "long non-coding RNA (ZMAR_LNC000412)". Lineage: Eukaryota; Viridiplantae; Streptophyta; Magnoliopsida; Alismatales; Zosteraceae. The record is from RNAcentral.